RNAcentral lists this ribosomal RNA (253 nucleotides) under uncultured bacterium. Its description in RNAcentral is "partial 16S ribosomal RNA". It matches the Rfam family "Bacterial small subunit ribosomal RNA", at positions 524 to 776 of the family's 1533-position model. The record is from RNAcentral.
UACGUAGGGGGCAAGCGUUGUCCGGAUUCAUUGGGCGUAAAGAGCGUGUAGGCGGCCAGGCAGGUCGGUUGUGAAAACUCGAGGCUCAACCUUCAGAGGUCGACCGAAACCAUCUGGCUAGAAUCCGGGAGAGGAGAGUGGAAUUCCUGGUGUAGCGGUGAAAUGCGCAGAUAUCAGGAAGAACACCCGUGGCGAAAGCGGCUCUCUGGAACGGUACUGACGCUGAGACGCGAAAGCGUGGGGAGCGAACAGG